CCAACCCAUUCUCACUCCAAAGGCGUCAAAAACCGAAGCAUGGUCAAGCGCCCCUAGCGUCACUUUUAUGACGCCAAAUGUGCCUCUCGGCGUCGACUAUCGAAGCACUACGACCUUCAUUGCUUUCAGUGGGAAACUUUUGGCGUCAGAAUUCGACACGAGGACAUGAGAUGUUUAUCGCUAUGAAAUCACGUUCAAGAAGUCUCAUUCAGCACACAUCGCGCGAUACUUGCUAUCAGUUCCACAGUUUGGCUGAAAAGACGUAAAGGCAGUCAGCCCAGUGGUGUUUCUGGAGAGGGAUUCCUUCAGAAAUGGAGAAGACAGAAAGCUGCGGAGGCAGAUAUUUGCAGCAUGUUCGAGUGAGCAUGAUGACCACGAGUGUGUGUCGAACUUUUCAUGACCUGAUGACUGUGUUUCCCAAUCCUGAUCCUGGAGAACCCCAGCACUGCACGGUUUUGGCGUCUCUCUUAUCUGCCUUGGAGUCUUCACUGAUGAGCUGAUGAGUUGAAUCAGGUCUAAAAUAUCGAGCUCAACAGCUAUUUUAAGAGCCAACCCUCACAAACCUUCCUAAAACCUAAAAGAGCUAUUACUGAGUCUCAGCGAAUCUUGCCAUGAUCAGCUCUUCCCAGAAGAGAAGGAAGACCAAGGAAAUGAUUUGCUCAGGAUGAGAAAUGAAGAUGGCCAUCUUGAGCUCAAACAAACAGAAGUCCUCUGAUGAUCUCAUCAGCCAAAUGAGGGGUUUUGACCAAGUGAUGCUCUUGAAAGGAGUGAAAGAAGAGGAUGUGGUAAAUUGUCUUCAGAGAAAAGCUUCUCAAAAGGUCUUAAAACAGCUUGAAGAAUGAUCUGGGAUGUUAGGACUGAGAGAUCCUCUGGCUGAGAAAAGGCUACACCACAUCAGUGCUGGAUAUCAACCACAAACUGUUUCCAGACACGAGAGAAGAAGAACACGAUGGGGAGAUGAAACCAGUUUAGAUGUGAUGAUGGGAAUCAUUAUUUUCUGGAACAGUAUCACAUGUCUUAUAUGUAUCACAUGAUCUGUAUCACAGUUGACUGGAUGGGACUGUGUGACUUUUAAGGACAUUUCAUCACUCAUCUGUGUGAACUGAUUUAUAUAUGAGGUUAAUGUAUCUUUGAUGAUAAUUAUUUUCAUUGAAUCUUAUUUGUCUUGAUGCUACUUUAUCAACUUUAUAGUCUAUGCUUCAAUAAAAUGAAAAUGGUGAA
This is a long non-coding RNA of Carassius gibelio (silver crucian carp), 1221 nucleotides long. RefSeq lists it as uncharacterized. NCBI's taxonomy places the organism in Eukaryota, Metazoa, Chordata, Actinopteri, Cypriniformes, Cyprinidae. The record is from RefSeq and is a predicted model, not a curated record. The transcript is spliced from 7 exons.